GGACUACCAGGGUUUCUAAUCCUGUUUGCUCCCUUGGCUUUCGUGCCUCAGUGUCAGGUAUUGUCCAGGGACUCGCCUUCGCCACUGGUGUUCCUCUUGAUAUCUACGCAUUUCACUGCUACACCAAGAAUUCCAGUCCCCCCUCCAAUCCUCCAGACCAGUAGUAUCCAAUGCCUUUCCCGGGUUAAGCCCGGGGCUUUCACAUCGAACUUACCAGCCCACCUGCGCACCCUUUACGCCCAGUGAAUCCGAACAACGCUCGGGACCUCUGUAUUACCGCGGCUGCUGGCAC
RNAcentral lists this ribosomal RNA (292 nucleotides) under uncultured Verrucomicrobiota bacterium. RNAcentral describes it as "uncultured Verrucomicrobia bacterium partial 16S ribosomal RNA". The record is from RNAcentral. Lineage: Bacteria; Pseudomonadati; Verrucomicrobiota.